AUUCGACACAGUCGAGGUUAUUCGACACAGUCGAGGUUCGUUUGGGCUCGGCCCAUUCUCUCUCGUGCAAUGCAUAAAGACUCUUGUGAUUCGACACAGUCGAGGGGAUUCGACACAGUCGAGGUUAUUCGACACAGUCGAGGUGAUUCACACAGUCGAGGUGAUUCGACACAGUCGAGUCGAGGUGAUUCGACACUAAAAACCGUCUACACAGGUUGAGUACUUCCUAUGUCGCCGCAUACGUUAAUGUCCUCGCGAAACAUUAACGAUCAACCUGUUCAUAGACGCUUUACAUACCCAUUUACAACACUAAAACUUUCAUAUAUUCAUAAGAUUCAUUUGAUGGAAACUCACAAAUACAUGAAUUACAAAUUGUGGUAACGUUUUUCAAGUUAUACCUAAGUAAGAGGAAGCGCUGAUCCUGCUUACAAAG
This 433-nucleotide long non-coding RNA is filed under the name Helianthus annuus (common sunflower). The record is from RNAcentral. Lineage: Eukaryota; Viridiplantae; Streptophyta; Magnoliopsida; Asterales; Asteraceae.